Molecule: long non-coding RNA, 427 nt
Organism: Danio aesculapii
Lineage: Eukaryota; Metazoa; Chordata; Actinopteri; Cypriniformes; Danionidae
Exons: 2
Source: RefSeq, a predicted model, not a curated record
CCUGCUAGUAAGGACUCUUUAAGAGAACAGAGGAUUCUUGUGGCAGAGAUGGCCAACCAUUAUAAAUACCAAAUACCUUUCAACUCAUCCUGGUUCCUUCAGAGAACUGUCCUGAUUAUGUGCUACUGAAAAAUACGACAUGUGGCCUAAACGAAGAGGGGUUAAAAGGUCUGUGGAUCAUCAUUCUCAGAAAGCAACAAAAUAACUGAGAAAAAAAAAACUACGACACGAGGGUGCAAGCUAGAGACCUGCAAGGUACCUGCAUGUUUUGGCCGGAGCAGAGAACAUACAUUUUUUAAAUAAAGCUCCAACUGAUGAGUAUGACAUUGACUACAGAUUUUCUUUUACUGUAAGGAAAGAAGACGAUGACCUUAACACUGAAUCUAAAGCAUGUAAUAAAAUCUGAAUUUCAUAAUCUAUAACCAAA